GGACUUUUAUCAACUGUGAAAAUCAGUGCGAGCCCCUUUCUUUGGAUCCUCGCAGGGCUGGGGAGGAACUUGUACUGACCACACCUUCUGUCCCCGGCCACCCCGCAGGCUAGAGGAAGAGGCGUACGACGAGGACGGAAACCCGCUGCAAGACUUCUAUGACUUGGAGUCGCCGGGCGCAGGGAGCCCCGCCUCCGCGCUGCGCGACGCCUCCGCAUUGUACUACCCGGCUGAGAGAAGAGAUGUCGCCCACGGGAUCCUUAACAAGGCCUACCGCAAAGUGCUGGACCAGCUGUCCGCCAGGAAGUACCUGCAGUCGCUCGUGGCCAAGGGCGUGGGUGGGAGCCUAGGCGGCGGCGCGGAGGACGACGCGGAGCCGCUCUCCAAGCGCCACUCGGACGGAAUCUUCACGGACAGCUACAGCCGCUACCGGAAACAAAUGGCUGUCAAGAAAUACUUGGCGGCCGUCUUAGGGAAAAGGUAUAAACAAAGGGUUAAAAACAAAGGACGCCGAAUAGCUUAUUUGUAGCGAUGAGUUACCAGCUACCCUGUGUAUACAGCCCU
This 564-nucleotide small RNA is filed under the name Pongo abelii (Sumatran orangutan). RNAcentral's name for it is "retained intron". The record is from RNAcentral. Lineage: Eukaryota; Metazoa; Chordata; Mammalia; Primates; Hominidae.